UGGGGAAUAUUGCACAAUGGGGGAAAACCCUGAUGCAGCGACGCCGCGUGAGCGAAGAAGUAUUUCGGUAUGUAAAGCUCUAUCAGCAGGGAAGAAAUUGACGGUACCUGAGUAAGAAGCUCCGGCUAAAUACGUGCC
Molecule: ribosomal RNA, 138 nt
Filed under: uncultured bacterium
Lineage: Bacteria
Description: partial 16S ribosomal RNA
Rfam family: Bacterial small subunit ribosomal RNA
Source: RNAcentral